AGGGCUAUAGCUCAGUUAGGUAGAGCACCUCGUUUACGUCUACGGUUCGAGUCCGUAUAGCCCUA
Molecule: transfer RNA, 65 nt
Filed under: Cotinus coggygria
Lineage: Eukaryota; Viridiplantae; Streptophyta; Magnoliopsida; Sapindales; Anacardiaceae
Also listed under: 2 other names
Description: tRNA-Val
Rfam family: tRNA
About the family: Transfer RNA (tRNA) molecules are approximately 80 nucleotides in length. Their secondary structure includes four short double-helical elements and three loops (D, anti-codon, and T loops).
Source: RNAcentral